AAACGACUCUCGGCAACGGAUAUCUCGGCUCUCGCAUCGAUGAAGAACGUAGCGAAAUGCGAUACUUGGUGUGAAUUGCAGAAUCCCGUGAACCAUCGAGUCUUUGAACGCAAGUUGCGCCCGAAGCCUUUAGGCCGAGGGCACGUCUGCCUGGGCGUCACACAACGUUGCCCCCCCAAUCCCCGUCCACCCCGUCGUGGCGGCGGAAGAGGAGGGGGCGGAUGAUGGCCUCCCGUGAGCUUCUCGGCCUCGCGGUUGGCCCAAACGCGAGUCCUCGGCCGCGGUGGCCGCGACGAUCGGUGGUUGCAAGGCCAUUCGGUGCCCCGUCGCGCGCCGUCGCGCCUCGCGAGACUCAGAGAGACCCCAUCGCGCCUCGGCGCUCCCGACGCGACCCCAGGUCAGGCGGGGCUACCCGCUGAGUUUAAGCAUAUCAAUAAGCGGAGGAAAAGAAACUUACGAGGAUUCCCUUAGUAACGGCGAGCGAACCGGGAAGAGCCC
This 498-nucleotide ribosomal RNA is filed under the name Aphananthe aspera. Its description in RNAcentral is "eukaryotic LSU rRNA". The stretch from base 5 to 160 matches the Rfam family "5.8S ribosomal RNA". Lineage: Eukaryota; Viridiplantae; Streptophyta; Magnoliopsida; Rosales; Cannabaceae. The record is from RNAcentral.